Molecule: small nuclear RNA, 107 nt
Filed under: Peromyscus maniculatus bairdii (prairie deer mouse)
Lineage: Eukaryota; Metazoa; Chordata; Mammalia; Rodentia; Cricetidae
Source: RNAcentral
GUACUUGUUUUGGCAGAAUAUUUACUAAAAUUGGAAAUACACAGAGAAGAUUAACAUGGUCCCUGUGCAAAGAUGACAUGGAAAUACUGCAAGCAAUCCAUAAUCUU